AGUGAACGCUGGCGGUAGGCCUAACACAUGCAAGUCGAACGGCAGCACAGUAAGAGCUUGCUCUUACGGGUGGCGAGUGGCGGACGGGUGAGGAAUACAUCGGAAUCUACUUUUUCGUGGGGGAUAACGUAGGGAAACUUACGCUAAUACCGCAUACGACCUACGGGUGAAAGCAGGGGAUCUUCGGACCUUGCGCGAUUGAAUGAGCCGAUGUCGGAUUAGCUAGUUGGCGGGGUAAAGGCCCACCAAGGCGACGAUCCGUAGCUGGUCUGAGAGGAUGAUCCGCCACACUGGACCGGAGACCCGGUCCAGCCUCCCACGGGGGGCAGCAGUGGGGAAUUUUGGCAAAUGGGCGCAAGCCUGAUCCAGCCAUCCCGCGUGGGUGAAGAAGGCCUUCGGGUUGUAAAGCCCUUUUUUUGGGAAAAAAAAGCAGCAGGUUAAUACCCCGCUGUUCUGCCGGUCCCCAAAGAAUAAGCCCCGGCUAACUUCGU
This 491-nucleotide ribosomal RNA is filed under the name uncultured bacterium. Its description in RNAcentral is "partial 16S ribosomal RNA". It matches the Rfam family "Bacterial small subunit ribosomal RNA", at positions 29 to 506 of the family's 1533-position model. The record is from RNAcentral.